This 923-nucleotide long non-coding RNA is filed under the name Zostera marina. Its description in RNAcentral is "long non-coding RNA (ZMAR_LNC004461)". Lineage: Eukaryota; Viridiplantae; Streptophyta; Magnoliopsida; Alismatales; Zosteraceae. The record is from RNAcentral.
UUGAACCAUUUUGAAACUGAUAACAUUUUACCCGAUCCCCUCCGUGAUCAAAACGGUUGUAAGACGAUUAACAUCUCUAGGAUCUUCUCCGGGAUGAAGACGGGAUUAAUCGUUGUAGGCAUUUUCAAAAUGGAGAACAUCUUGAACCCAAAAGGCUGAUGUUAAAGUCGAACCUGCAGAAAAAAGACAACUGUAAUAUGUUAAGAAGAUUAAAAUACUGCUUGAAUACUCAUUAAUCUAUUAUGACUUGCAGAAGGUAAUGUAUUUACCUAAAAAUGACCAACAUCGUAAACGUGUCGUCGUCCACCACCGUCCGAAAUCGAACCACGGAAGUUUUAAUUGAACUUAAACCACGAAUGAACCCUAAAGAUAAACACAAAACAAUGAAUCUCAAAAUAAUGUGAUUGAAAUCGUUCCGUCGUCCAACCUAAGGAAAGGGAUAAUGUUUUUAUUAAACCGAUUCGAACACCGAACUCGUUUCGCCGUCCGUAAUCGAACGAAACAAAGCUAGAAUGAUUGAAACUAAAAAUGAACCCCAAAAGCUAGAAUGAAUCUUAAAAAUGAACAAUGAAAAUGAACCCUAAAAAUGCACCCCAAUCUGAUACAACCCAAAACAAAAAAUUGAACAGAAAAAUGUGAUUGAACAAGGAAAACACAAUGAAAUCGACCGAGAGUUAGACACAAUAAAAAUGUGAUUAACCCUAAACACAAAGAAAGGUAGAAAUAAAAGCACGACGAAACGGUUCCUAUAUAACCCAAAAUGAUAUUUUGCACAACCAACGGUUUCAUAAACUAGAAGCAGAAAAAGAAAUAAGAAACAGAACAAGAAGCACAACGAAGGAACGAAAACACAACGAACCCAAAACUACGAUUUAACCAGGAAAAAUCCAUGGAAAUGAGCGGAGAGAACAAAGCUCAGCUUG